UGAGUAAUGUCUGGGAAACUGCCUGAUGGAGGGGGAUAACUACUGGAAACGGUAGCUAAUACCGCAUAACGUCGCAAGACCAAAGAGGGGGACCUUCGGGCCUCUUGCCAUCAGAUGUGCCCAGAUGGGAUUAGCUAGUAGGUGGGGUAACGGCUCACCUAGGCGACGAUCCCUAGCUGGUCUGAGAGGAUGACCAGCCACACUGGAACUGAGACACGGUCCAGACUCCUACGGGAGGCAGCAGUGGGGAAUAUUGCACAAUGGGCGCAAGCCUGAUGCAGCCAUGCCGCGUGUAUGAAGAAGGCCUUCGGGUUGUAAAGUACUUUCAGCGGGGAGGAAGGUGCUGAGGUUAAUAACCUCAGCAAUUGACGUUACCCGCAGAAGAAGCACCGGCUAACUCCGUGCCAGCAGCCGCGGUAAUACGGAGGGUGCAAGCGUUAAUCGGAAUUACUGGGCGUAAAGCG
Molecule: ribosomal RNA, 464 nt
Filed under: Microbacterium sp. K10
Lineage: Bacteria; Bacillati; Actinomycetota; Actinomycetes; Micrococcales; Microbacteriaceae
Description: bacterial SSU rRNA
Rfam family: Bacterial small subunit ribosomal RNA
Source: RNAcentral